This 528-nucleotide ribosomal RNA is filed under the name uncultured bacterium. RNAcentral's name for it is "partial 16S ribosomal RNA". It matches the Rfam family "Bacterial small subunit ribosomal RNA", at positions 355 to 874 of the family's 1533-position model. The record is from RNAcentral.
UGGGGAAUUUUGGACAAUGGGCGCAAGCCUGGUCCAGCCAUGCCGCGUGCGGGAAGAAGGCCUUCGGGUUGUAAACCGCUUUUGUCAGGGAAGAAAUCUUCUGAGUUAAUACCUCGGGAGGAUGACGGUACCUGAAGAAUAAGCACCGGCUAACUACGUGCCAGCAGCCGCGGUAAUACGUAGGGUGCAAGCGUUAAUCGGAAUUACUGGGCGUAAAGCGUGCGCAGGCGGUUUUGUAAGACAGAGGUGAAAUCCCCGGGCUCAACCUGGGAACUGCCUUUGUGACUGCAAGGCUUGAGUGCGGCAGAGGGGGAUGGAAUUCCGCGUGUAGCAGUGAAAUGCGUAGAUAUGCGGAGGAACACCGAUGGCGAAGGCAAUCCCCUGGGCCUGCACUGACGCUCAUGCACGAAAGCGUGGGGAGCAAACAGGAUUAGAUAGCCCCUGGUAGUCCACGCCCUAAACGAUGUCAACUGGUUGUUGGGAAGGUUCCUUCUCAGUAACGUAGCUAACGCGUGAAGUUGACCGCCU